UACAGAGGGUGCAAGCGUUAAUCGGAAUUACUGGGCGUAAAGCGUGCGCAGACGGUUGCGUAAGUCAGAUGUGAAAGCCCCGGGCUCAACCUGGGAAUUGCAGUGGAAACUGGCGGGCUUGAGUGUGGCAGAGGGGGGUGGAAUUCCGCGUGUAGCAGUGAAAUGCGUAGAGAUGCGGAGGAACACCGAUGGCGAAGGCAGCCCCCUGGGCUGACACUGACGCUGAGGCACGAAAGCGUGGGGAGCAAACAGG
This 253-nucleotide ribosomal RNA is filed under the name uncultured bacterium. Its description in RNAcentral is "partial 16S ribosomal RNA". It matches the Rfam family "Bacterial small subunit ribosomal RNA", at positions 524 to 776 of the family's 1533-position model. The record is from RNAcentral.